GCCUCGGUAGCUCAUCAGGUAGAGCACAGAACUGAAGAUUCUGAGGGAGAAGUUCGAGUCUUCUCCAAGGCA
Molecule: non-coding RNA, 72 nt
Organism: Triticum urartu
Lineage: Eukaryota; Viridiplantae; Streptophyta; Magnoliopsida; Poales; Poaceae
Source: Rfam